RNAcentral lists this long non-coding RNA (10153 nucleotides) under Homo sapiens (human). RNAcentral describes it as "HSALNT0290243". Lineage: Eukaryota; Metazoa; Chordata; Mammalia; Primates; Hominidae. The record is from RNAcentral.
CCACCGCGCCCGGCCUGGAUUUAUUUUGUAAGGCUGAACCUCAGAAUGAGGCGGUUUAGAGCAGUGCUUCUUGAACUUUAUUGUGCACCAGAAUCCCCUGGGGAUCGUACUAAAAUGCAGGUUCUGAUUGAGUAGGGCUUGGGUGGAGCCUGAGAUUCUGCUUUUCUAAUAAGCUUCCAAGUGAUGUCAGUAUUGCCAUUGUGGGGAUCACUCUUUGAGUAGCAGAAGUUAAGAGGAACGCAGCGCAUAUGUCCCCUGAAGGCAGCCGAGGUUCUGAGAGAGAGGGAGGAAGUGGCCAGGCAGUCUAUGCCUAACCGCUCCUUCCAGACUCACAGGAACAUUCUAGUAAUGGGGCUCACUUCUCAUGGAGGGAGGCAUCAGGAGUGCUUCUACACUAGCAAGGUCAUUGGUGAGGGGAGCAUUUGUUUGAGUGGUGCCUAAUUGGAGUAGGUUCUAGGGAAAGUGGGAGGAGAGGAGGGUGAAACAGUACAAACAAUUCUUUCAUAGAUUUUUCUGUAAAAGGGAAAAGACAAAUGGAGUAACUGGAAGGGGAUAUGGGGUAAAGGAGAGGCUUUUGUUUUAAAGAAGGGAAAUAGCAUAGCUUGUGCAUGUACUAAUUGGAAAAAAUGAACUGGGAGGGAAAACCUGGCAGUGGGGAAGACAGUGAGGUGGAGAGAGUUGUGGAGUGGGCCUGAGGGACUGGGGGCCAGUGCACAGCAGAGAGGUAGGUCCUAGAUCCAACUGAGCACCCUGGCUUAUAUCCACAGUGCUGCCGACAGCUCAGUGAUAGGAACACUGCAAGUCUCUGGAUUGCUAGGACUCUUCAGUCUUAAGUUAAUGUCUGGCUGGGCGUGGUGGCUCAUGCCUGUAAUCCCAGCACUUUGGGAGGCUAAGGCGGGUGGAUCACCUGAGCUCAGGAGUUCAAAACCAGCCUGGCCAACAUGGUGAAACCCUGUCUCUACUAAAAAUACAAAAAUUAGCUGGGCAUGGUGGUGGGUACCUGUAAUCCCAGCUACUCGGGAGGCUGAGGCUGGAGAAUCACUUGAACCCGGGAGGCAGAGGUUGCGGUGAGCCGGGAUCACACCAUUGCACUCCAGCCUGGGCUACAGAGCGAGAUUUUUGUCUCAAAAAAAAAAAAAAAAAAAAAGUUAGUUAAUGUCAGCUCUAGGGCUUAUGUCAGGCCACGUCUUCCUGAAACUGGACUUGCAGUUUAAAAUGGGAGAUCAUCCCCGAAUCAGUGCAUAUUAUGCUGGUUGUGCCCUCAACUAGACCUCACCCAGGAGCAUGUAGGAUUGAAUCCUCACUAGGGUUGCACGCUUAGUAAAUCCCCAUGUCUCUUGCAAAGCUGAUAGUUUGGGAAGUCAGGUGACCCAUGGAAGCAUGCAUGAGUCUGGUGCGCUGCUUUUCUUUUGUUGUUGUUGUUUUGAGACGGAGUCUUGCUCCGUCGCCCAGGCUGGAGUGCAGUGGCACAAUCUCGGCUCACUGCAAGCUCCGCCUCCUGGGUUCACGCCAUUCUCCUGCCUCAGCUUCCUGAGUAGCUGGGACUACAGGCGCCCGCCACCACGCCUGGCUAAUUUUUUGUAUUUCUUAGUAGAGACAGGGUUUCACCGUGUUAGCCAGGAUGGUCUUGAUCUCCUGACCUUGUGAUCUGCCCACCUCGGCCUCCCAAAGUGCUGGGAUUACAGGUGUGGGCCACUGCGCCUGGCCCGGGCUCGUGCGCUGCUUUUCUAUCUGGUUCUUCUUGUUAUUCCACUUGCGGUUGGAUGGGGAGAUAUUCCACUUUCCCUUAGGAACUCUUGUCCCUGCACAGACCAUUUUAGCUAUUCUGAGCACAUCACAAGCAUACUCCUCUGGGGUGAGAAUAUAUAGCCUCUGGGCUUUUUCAGAAUUGCUCCUUCUGCUACUCUGGAAGCUAACGUGGAAUGAUUGCUUGAGUCCAGCAGUUCAAGGCCAGCAUGGGCAACAAAGCAAGAACCUGUUUCUUUAAAAAAAAAAAAAAAAAAAAAAAAAGGCGGGGGGAGCAGGCAUGGUGGCUUACACCUGUAAUCCCAGCACUUUGAGAGGCCGUGGCAGGAGGAUCACUUGAAGCCAGAGCUCAAAACCAGCCUGGGCAACUUAGUGAGCCCCCAUUUCUACAAAAAAUAAAAACAAUUAACUGGGCAUGGUGGUACACACCUGUAGCCUCAGCUACUCAGGAAGCUGAGAUGGGAGGAUCCCUUGAGCCCAGGAGUUUGAGACUGCAGUGAGCUAUGAUGGUGCCACUGGCGCCUGGGUAACAAAGCAAGACCCUGUCUCAAAAAAAAAAAAAAAAAAAAAAAGGAGCUGGGCAUAGUGGCAUGUGCCUGUAAAUGAAAGGCAUCAUUUCAUGCAAGCUCCUCUGAGCCCAGGAGUUCCAGCCUAGCCCAGGCAACAGGGCAAGACCACGUCUCAAAAAAAAAAAAAGUACUCUUUCCACCUAAAAUAUAUUCAGGUCAUUUGAGUUCAGUUUGAGUUCAGCUACGAGAAUUAUUUAGUUGAGUGAGUGUCAGAGCUGGGAUUUUCAAAUCUGCCCUUACUGGUAUGUUGCUUUACACACCCUCUUACGUAAAUCAAACUAGGAUUCCACCCUGGGAGGUUUGCAUAGAGGGCUGUUCUUGUAGAACUUGUGCUCAUGCUUUGAUUUGGGAUUUGGGGAGUUAGGGCAAGCCAGAAAGUUUUUCUGGUGGAUAAUAAUGUGGGUUGACUUUCUUAAGCAUUUUAAGCCAAGCACUUGAGUUUCUAACAACUAAAAAGCUAAGUCAGCCUGACACAGCUCUAGCGCGCCCUGGCUUGAUUCUGUUCAUCCCCAGGGGGAGACUUGCCUUUGUUCCAGUCCUGCUCUCCCAAGCCAGCUUACUGUAGUUUUCCAGCAAUUCUGAGAAGCAGUAUUUUUUACUGCUGAUUAGAACCUUAACAUGGAAAUGGAAAGUUUGUGUAGCAUGUAACAUUAUUAGAAGGGAAAACAUGACUAUAUGAUUAGAUACAUAUUGAUUUUAUGCAAUAUGUUUGCAUAAAAUCUCUUCAGUAGUAACUUGGUUAAAUUAUUCACAUUGACUCAGCAUAAUUUCUCCCUUGCUAAAUCUCAGACUAAAGCAAUCAAUUUGUUCCUGCAAGAAAGUCUGAUGGUAGGCUUUCCUUGUAACUGAGCCCCAUAGAAAGAGGAAGCAGCUGCAACAAAGUUGAAAAGGAUGCCUGUCACCAAGGUUCUUUUAAGGGAGCCAUUGUGUGAAGUUCUACUUGUGAAAUUUCUGCAAGUACUGUUUGUUCUCCAAAAUCCAGCUUUCCGUUGAAAGUCAAUGAAACAUCUCUAAAAUGCAGACAUACCCAGGUUCAUUGGGAACACAGUCACUGUGAGUAUACAUGAUUAUGUCCUGCUAACCCUAUUGGGAAAGAAUGCUGGGCUUGGCCCUAGUAAGUAGACUUGGGUUAAAGUUCACCUCCGCCACUAACUAGCUGGGAAGUUCAACUUCCCUGAGCUGAGUUUGUCACGUUAGAGAAUAUUAAUAAAUAUGAAAAUUGUGGAGCAGUCUUAAGUUUAAAAGGAACUUUCAUGGACAUUAGCUCAUUUUGCUGUGCCCACCCUGGGAAGGAAGCAGGACAGGCAGGCAGUGGCAUCCCUGUCGUCAAGCAGCCUGAGGACUGCUGUGAGCCUCUGGAGCAAGGCAGGAGUUUGAGGAGGCUCUCAGUCCUUUUGUCCUUUUUUUGAGACAGAGCAUCAUUCUGUUGCCCAGGCUGGAGUGCAAUGGCAUGAUCUUGGCUCACUGCAACCUCUGUCCCCCACCCUUACCACUGGGUUCAAGCAAUUCUUAGGCCUCAGCCUCCUAAGUAGCUGGGACUACAGGAUGCACCACCACGCCCAGCUAAUUUUGGGGGGGUUUUUUUUGAGACGAGUUUCACUCUUGUGGUCCAGGCUGGAGUGUAGUUGCAGUGAGCUGAGAUUGCAUCAUUGCACUCCAGCCUGGGUGACAGAGUGAAACUCCAUCUCAAAAAAAAAAAAAAGAAAAAGAAAAAUGUUAAAAGUCAAGGGAGGCUGGUUGUGGUGGGCUCACGCUGUAAUCCCAGCACUCUGGGAGGCAGAGGCGGGUGGAUCACCUGAGGUCAGGAGUUCAAGACCAGCCUGGCCAACAUGGUGAAACCCCGUCUCUACUAAAAAUACAAAGAAUUAGCCAGGCAUGGUAGCAGGUGCCUGUAAUCCCAGCUACUUGGGAGGCUGAGGUAGGAGAAUCGCUUGAACCCAGGAGGCAGAGGUUGCAGUGAGCCAAGAUCCCACCACUGCACUCCAGCCUGGGGAGCAAGAGCAAAAUUCUGUCUCAAAAAAAAAAAAAAAAAAAAGCCAAGGGAGAUUUAAGAAGUAGGUGAUCCCUGAAUGCACCGCCAACCCACCCAGAUAGGCCUAAAUAUCUGAGCACAGCCAAGGUGUUUGAGCACAACCUCUUCCCAGAUCUUUGGCCACUAAGUUAUGGAGACACAAGGCAACCAUCAGGAAGUCAAGCUAAAACCUAAAGAAUAAAAAAAAUCUGGGUGCAGUAGCUCAACCUGUAAUCCUAGCACUUUGGGACGCCAAGGUGGGAGGAUUAUUUAAGUCCAGGAGUUUGAGACCAGCCUGGGCAACAGAGAGAGAUCUCGUCUUGUCUCUUAAAAAAAAAAAAAAAAAAAAAAAAGGCCAGACACGGUGGUGUGCACCUGUAGUCCCAACAACUUGGGAGGCUGAGAUGGGAGGAUUGCUUGAGCCCAGGAGUUCAAGACUGCAGUGAGCCACUGCACUUCAGGCUGGACAACAGAGCGAGUCCCUGUGUCAAAAAAAAAAAGGAAAAAGAAAAGAAACAAAAAUCUGGGCUGGGUGUGGUGGCUCACACCUGUAAUCCUAGCACUUUGGGAGGCCAAGGUGGGCAGAUCACUUGAGAUCAGGAGUUUGAGACCAGCCAUGGCCAACAUGGUGAAACUCCAUCUCUAUUAAAAAUACAAAAAUUAGCCAGGCAUGGUGGCGUGAACCUGUAGUCCCACUCAUUUUGGGGGCUGAGGUGGGAUUGCUUGAGCCCAGGAGGUCAAGGUUGCCGUGAACUGUGAUUGUGCCACUGCACCCCAGCCUGGGCAACAGAGCAACACCCUGUCUCUGAAAAAAAAAAAAAAAAAAAAAAAAUGCUUAACUGCUCAUCAGAAACAGUAAAGGCUAAAGCCACUGCAAUGGAUAUUCAAAGUGCUGAAAGGAAAAAACAAUCACCCAAUAAUUUUAUAUACAGCAAAACUAGCCUUCAAAAGUGAAGGUGAGGCCGGGUGCGGUGGCUCACACCUGUACUCCCAGCACUGUGGGAGUCUGAAGCAGGAUUGCUUGCGCCCAGGAGGACCAGACCAGCCUCUACAGAAAAAUUUUAAAAAUUAGCCAGACAUGGUGGCACCCACCUGCGGUCCUAGCUACUUGGGAGGCUGAAGUGGGAGAACUGCUUGAGCCCAGGAGGUUGGGGGUACAGUAAGCUAUGUUCAAACCACAGCACUCCAGACUGGGUGACAGACCAAGACCCUGUCCCAAGAAAAAGGUGAAAUAAAGACAUUCUGAGAUUUUUAAAAAGGGAGAAUAAGAGAAUUAUUGCUAGCAGACCUCUCCUAAAAGAGGUACUAAAGGGGCCGGGUGUGGUGGCUCACUCCUGUAAUCUCAGCACUUUCUGAGGCCAAGGCAGGCAGAUCACCUGAGGUCGGAAGUUCGAGACCAGCCUGACCAACAUGGAGAAACCCCAUCUCUACUAAAAAUACAAAAUUAGCCAGGCAUGAUGGCACAUGCCUGUAAUCCCAGCUACUUGGGAGGCUGUGGCAGAAGAAUCGCUUGAACCUGGGAGGCAGAGGUUGUGGUGAGCCGAGAUUGAGCCACUGCACUCCAGCAUGGUUGACAAGAGCAAAAUUCUGUCUCCAAAAAAAAAAAAAAAAGAAGUACUAAAGGAAGUCCUUCAGCCUAAAAGAAAAGGACACUAGAACAAUAUCUUGAAUUCACCAGAAGGCAUGGAGCACUAGAAUGAUGAAGGCAGCUAAAUGUAAAACACUAUAUAUUUCUCUUUUUUUUUUUUUUUUUUUGAGACAGUGUCUUGGUCUGUUGCUCAGACUGGAGUGCAGUGGCACAAUCCCGGCUCACUGAAGCCUCCGCCUCCCGGGUUCAAGCAAUUCUCCUUCCUCAGCCUCCUGAGUAGCUGGGACUACAGGUGCACGCCACCACACCCAGCUAAUUUUUUGUAUUUUUAGUAGAGUCGGGGUUUCACCAAGUUAGCCGGGAUGGUCUCGAUCUCCUGACCUCGUGAUCUGCCCACCUCGGCCUCCCUAUAUUUCUCUUUUAUACUUUAUAUUUUUCUCUCUUUUUUAAUUUUUUAAAAAACAAGGUUGUUUAAACCAGUUAUAACACAUUGCUGGGUUUAUAACAUAUAAAGAUAUAUAUAUAACACAAAGGAAGAGCAAGGGAAGGGUAGUAAAGUUACUGUAUUUUACCAGAAUUUUCAGUAUUGAGCUGAAAUAUACUGUAAUAAGUUAAAGCUACAUACUGCAAUCCCUAGACAACCACACAGAAAGUAACUCAAACAUAUAACUAAAAGGAAAAAACCCUUCAACUUUGGGAUCAGGAUAAUACAUACAUACACAUACACAAAUGUAACACAGAAAAAGGAGUUAAAGAAGCCAGGCGUGGUGGCUCACGCCAGUAAUUCCAGCACUUGGGGAGGCCGAGGCAGGCAGAUCACCUGAGGUCAGGAGCUCAAGACCAGCCUGGCCAACAUGGUGAAACCCUGUCUCUACUAAAAAUGCAAAAAUUAGCCAGUCAUGGUGGCAUGCCUGUAAUCCCAGCUACUUGGCAGGCUUAAAACAGGAGAAUUGCUUUAACCCGUGAGGUGGAGGUUGCAGUGAACUGAGAUGGUGCCACUGCACUCCAGCCUGGGCGACAGAGUGAGACUCCAUCUCAAAAAAGAAUUAAAGAGAAACAAAGGGACAACAAAGAUGAGAAAUAUAGAAAACAAGUAUUAAAAUGUCAUCCAUAUAUUCAACCAUAUCAACAAUUACAUUAAACAUGAAUGGACUAAAUAUUCCAAAGGGCACAGACUGUAAAACUGUAUAAAAAAGCAAGAUUCAACUAUAUGCUAUCUACAAGAGAUCCUUUAGAUUCAAAGACACAAAUAAUAGAGUGAAAGUGAAAAGAUAUACCAUGCAAUCAAGAAUCACAAGAGAGCAGGAAUAGCUAUAUGAACAACAGUCAACAUGGCCUUUUUCCCCAAGUUCUUCCUGCAUACAUUUAACUCAGCAUAGACUUUAAUAGUAGUAUUAAUAUUAGAAACAUAAAGGAACAUUUUAUGAUGAUAAUGGCUAUAUCAAUACAUUAUGAAGAUUUAGCCAUUAUAAAUAUAUACACUGCUAACAUUAGUCUCAAAAACAGAAUUGAAAGGAAAAAUAUACAAUUGAAAAUCCAUGAUAGGCCCAGUACAGUGGCUCAACGCCUGUAAUCCCCGCACUUUGGGAGGCCGAGGCAGGCAGAUCACUUGAGGUGAGGAGUUCGAGACCAGCCUAGCCAACAUAAUGAAAUGCUGUCUCUACUAAAAAAAAAAAAAAAAAAAAAAAAAUUAGCUGGAUGUGGUGGCACUUGCCUGUAAUCCCAGCUACUCAGGAGCCUUAGGCAGGAGAAUCGCUUAAACCUGGGAGGUGGAGCCUGUAGUGAGCCGAGAUCAUGCCAGUGUGAUAUUGAGUCUUGCAAAUCCGUUAACAUGUUACAAUGUCUUAUUUAGAUCUGUAAUUUGCUUCAGCAAUGUUUUGUGGUUUUGAGUGUAUAGGCUUUGGACUUAUUUUAUUAAAUUCAAUAUCUUAUUCCAAAUAUUUUAUUCUUUUGAUGUUAUUGUAAAUGACACUUUUUUUUUUUUGAGACUGAGUCUCACCCUAUUGCCCAGGCUGGAGUGCAGUGGCACCUCCCAGGUUCAAGCAAUUCUCCUGCCUCAGCCUCCUGAGUAGCUGGGAUUUUUAGUAGAGAUGGGGUUUUGCCAGUUUGGCCAGACUGGUCUUGAACUCCUAGGCUCAAGUGAUCUGCCUGCCUUGGCCUCCUAAAAUGCUGGGAUUACAGCCAUGGGCCACUGUGCCCGGCCAUAAUUUUUGAAUUUUUUUUUUUUGGUAGAGAUGGGUUUCCGCCAUGUUGCCCAGGCUGUUCUCCAACCCUGGGCUCAAGUGAUACUCCUGCCUCGGCCUUCCAAAGUGCUGGGACUAUAAGUGCAGGUGUGGACCACCGUGCUUGGCCUUUUUUUUUUUUCUUUUUUUUUUUUGAGACAGGGUUUUGGCUCUGUCACUCAGGCUGGAGUGCAGUGGUACCAUCAUGACUCAUUGCAGCCUCAAUGUCCCAGCCUCAAGCAGUCUUUCCACCUAACCCUCUCGAGUAGCUGGGACUACAGGCAUGCACCACCACACCUGGCUAGUCUUAUUUUUAAUUUUUGUUUUUUUAAGUAGAGAUGGGGGUCUCACUAUGUUGCUCAGGCUGGUCUCCAACUCCUGGGCUCAAGUGAUUCUCCCACCUCAGCCUCCCAAAAUGCUGGGAUUACAGGCGUGAACCGCCAUGCCCAGCAGAAAAAUUGUCAUUGGAAUAAAGUCUGGGGUUUUGUUAAAAGUUUUAUAUCGGCCGGGUGUGGUGGCCCAUGCCUGUAAUCCUAGCACUUUGAGAAGCUGAGGGGGGAGAUUCCCUGAGCUCAGGGAUUCAAGACCAGCCUGGACAAUGCAGUGAAACCCUGUCUCUACUAAAAUACAAAAAAUUAGCUGGGCGUGGUGGCGUGCACCUGUAGUCCUGGCUACUUGGGAGGCUGAGGCAGGACAAUUUCUUGAACCCAGGAGGCAGAGGUUGCAGUGAGCCGAGAUCACGCCACUGCACUCCAGCCUGGGCGACAGGGCGAGACCUGGAGUGCAGGCACAAUUAUGGCUCCCUGCAGCCUUGACCUCCCCAGGUUCAGGUGAUCCUCCCACCUCAGUUUUUCUAUUUUUAGUAGAGCCCUCCACCUCCCGGGUUCAAGCAAUUCUCCUGCCUCAGCCUCCUGAGUAGCUGGGAUUACAGGCAUGUGCCACCACGACGGGUUAAUUUUUGUAUUUUUAGUAGACACAGGGUUAUACCAUGUUGCCCAGGCUGGACUUCAACUCCUGGGCUCAAGUGAUCCACCUGUCUUGGCCCCACAAAGUGCUAGGAUUACAGGUGUGAGCCACCACACCUGGCCAGCAGUUUCUUAAAAAGUUACACUUACCUUAAAACCCAGCAAUCCACUCCUAAGUAUAUGUCUAAAAGAAAUGAAAACAACAGGCUGGGUGUGGUGGCUCACACCUGUAAUGCCAGCACUUUGGGAGGCUAAGGUGGUAGCUCUCCAGACCACCCAGGGCAACAUGGUAAAACCCCGUCUCCACUAAAAAUACAAAAAAAUUAACCGGGUGUGGUGGGGCACACCUCUAGUCCCAGCUACUUGGGAGGCUGAGGCAGGAGAAUCACUUGAGCCCCAGAGGCAAAGGUUUCAGUAAGCCGAGAUCGUGCCACUGCACUCUAGCUUGGGCUACAGAGUGAGACUCCAUCUCACACACACACACACAAAAGAAAUGAAAACAACAAUUUGUACAUGAGUUCAAAACAGAAUUAUUUAUUUCCCAAACUAGAAACAAUCCAAAUGUCUAUCAACAGAUAAAUGGAUAAGCAAAUGAUGACACAAUUGCAUUAAUGGAAUACCACUCAGCAAUGAAAAGGAACAAACCACUCAUACCUACAACACAGAUGAGCCUCAGAAACGUGAUGCUAAGUGAAAGAAGCCAGACCAAAAAAAUUAUAUGCUAUUAUUCCAUUUCUAUGAAAUUUCUGGAAAAGGCAAAAACCAUGCAAAGUAGAUCAGAGGUUGGCUGGGGGUGAGAGCAGAGACUGACUACAAAUAGGCCCAAGGGAACGUUUUGGGGUGAUGGAAGUUUUCUAUAAGUGGAUUAUGGUGAUGGCUACACAACAGUAUAAAUUAAAGGUCAUCCAAAUGUGUACUUACAAUGUUUGAAUUGUAUGACAUGUAAAUUAUCUCAUUAAAUCUGUAUUUUAAAAAAAGAACUGUGCUGUGAAGUUUGACAUAUUUUAAAGUAGGAUGUCUUAGCCGGGCAUGGUGUUGCAUGCCUGUAGUCC